UACGUAGGGGGCAAGCGUUGUCCGGAAUCAUUGGGCGUAAAGAGCGUGUAGGCGGCUCGGUAAGUCCGCUGUGAAAGUCCAGGGCUCAACCCUGGAAAGCCGGUGGAAACUGUCGAGCUCGAGUCCGGAAGAGGCGAGUGGAAUUCCUGGUGUAGCGGUAAAAUGCGCAGAUAUCAGGAGGAACACCAAUGGCGAAGGCAGCUCGCUGGGACGGCACUGACGCUGAGACGCGAAAGCGUGGGGAGCAAACAGG
Molecule: ribosomal RNA, 253 nt
Filed under: uncultured bacterium
Lineage: Bacteria
Description: partial 16S ribosomal RNA
Rfam family: Bacterial small subunit ribosomal RNA
Source: RNAcentral